AGAAUCAACGCUGGCGGCGUGCCUAACACAUGCAAGUCGAACGAGAAAGUGGAGCAAUCCAUGAGUAAAGUGGCGCACGGGUGAGUAACACGUGACUAACCUACCCUCGAGUGGGGAAUAACUUCGGGAAACCGAGGCUAAUACCGCAUAACAUCUACGGAUCAAAUGCGUAAGCAGCUUGAGGAGGGGGUCGCGGCUGAUUAGCUAGUUGGCGGGGUAAUGGCCCACCAAGGCAAUGAUCAGUAGCCGGCCUGAGAGGGCGCACGGCCACACUGGAACUGAAACACGGUCCAGACUCCUACGGGAGGCAGCAGUGGGGAAUUUUGCGCAAUGGGGGAAACCCUGACGCAGCAACGCCGCGUGGAGGAUGAAGCCCCUUGGGGUGUAAACUCCUUUCGAUCGGGACGAUUAUGACGGUACCGGAAGAAGAAGCUGCGGCUAACUACGUGCCAGCAGCCGCGGUAAUACGUAGGCAGCAAGCGUUGUUCGGAAUUACUGGGCGUAAAGAGUGUGUAGGCGGUUCUCUAAGUUCCGUGUGAAAUCUCCCGGCUUAACUGGGAGGGUGCGCGGGAAACUGGAGGGCUUGAGUAUGGGAGAGGAAAGCGGAAUUCCUGGUGUAGCGGUGAAAUGCGUAGAUAUCAGGAGGAACACCUGCGGUGUAGACGGCUUUCUGGACCAUCACUGACGCUGAGACACGAAAGCGUGGGUAGCAAACAGGAUUAGAUACCCUGGUAGUCCACGCCCUAAACGAUGCAUACUUGGUGUGAGCCGUUCAUUCGGUUCGUGCCGGAGCUAACGCGUUAAGUAUGCCGCCUGGGGAGUACGGUCGCAAGGCUGAA
RNAcentral lists this ribosomal RNA (839 nucleotides) under uncultured bacterium. Its description in RNAcentral is "bacterial SSU rRNA". It matches the Rfam family "Bacterial small subunit ribosomal RNA", at positions 26 to 898 of the family's 1533-position model. The record is from RNAcentral.